Molecule: ribosomal RNA, 758 nt
Filed under: uncultured Myroides sp.
Lineage: Bacteria; Pseudomonadati; Bacteroidota; Flavobacteriia; Flavobacteriales; Flavobacteriaceae
Description: bacterial SSU rRNA
Rfam family: Bacterial small subunit ribosomal RNA
Source: RNAcentral
GCAGGCCUAAUACAUGCAAGUCGAGGGGUAUAGAUAGCUUGCUAUUUAGAGACCGGCGCACGGGUGAGUAACGCGUAUGCAACCUACCUUCUACAGGGGAAUAGCCCGAAGAAAUUCGGAUUAAUGCUCCAUGGUUUAAUUGGAUGGCAUCAUUUGAUUAAUAAAGAUUUAUCGGUAGAAGAUGGGCAUGCGUAUCAUUAGCUAGUUGGUGUGGUAACGGCAUACCAAGGCGACGAUGAUUAGGGGUCCUGAGAGGGAGAUCCCCCACACUGGUACUGAGACACGGACCAGACUCCUACGGGAGGCAGCAGUGAGGAAUAUUGGUCAAUGGAGGCAACUCUGAACCAGCCAUGCCGCGUGCAGGAUGACGGUCCUAUGGAUUGUAAACUGCUUUUGUACAGGAAGAAACCUCACUACGUGUAGUGAUUUGACGGUACUGUAAGAAUAAGGAUCGGCUAACUCCGUGCCAGCAGCCGCGGUAAUACGGAGGAUCCGAGCGUUAUCCGGAAUUAUUGGGUUUAAAGGGUUCGUAGGCGGUCAGAUAAGUCAGUGGUGAAAUUUCUUAGCUUAACUAAGACCCGGCCAUUGAUACUGUUUGACUUGAAUAGUAUGGAAGUAACUAGAAUAUGUAGUGUAGCGGUGAAAUGCUUAGAUAUUACAUGGAAUACCAAUUGCGAAGGCAGGUUACUACGUACUUAUUGACGCUGAUGAACGAAAGCGUGGGGAGCGAACAGGAUUAGAUACCCUGGUAGUCCACG